RNAcentral lists this long non-coding RNA (335 nucleotides) under Nicotiana benthamiana. RNAcentral's name for it is "long non-coding RNA (NBEN_LNC022967)". The record is from RNAcentral. Lineage: Eukaryota; Viridiplantae; Streptophyta; Magnoliopsida; Solanales; Solanaceae.
CUAACCACAGCUCUAUAAAAUUUCCCCUUGAGCUUCUGUGGAACUUUCUUGUCACACAGGACUCCUGAUGCAAGCCUCCACUUUGACAACCCCGCUCAUAUACGAUGAGUGACGUCCCCGUCAAUAUCUCCGUCCCCCUGGAUCACCGACCCAAGAUAUCUGACAUUAUCCCUCUUGGCGAUGACCUGAGAUCCAAUCAUCACGUCUCUGCCUACUUCGCUCGUCUCAGCGCUAAACUUGCAGUCCAGGUAUUCUGUCUUAGAUCUGCUUAUUUUGAAAACCUUAGACUCGAGAGUCUGCCUCCAUACCUCUAACCUCUCAAUAACACCGACCCU